RNAcentral lists this non-coding RNA (31 nucleotides) under Mus musculus (house mouse). The record is from RNAcentral. Lineage: Eukaryota; Metazoa; Chordata; Mammalia; Rodentia; Muridae.
UAACUUAAAAGCACAGGUUUAGUUCUUUCUC